Molecule: ribosomal RNA, 252 nt
Filed under: uncultured bacterium
Lineage: Bacteria
Description: partial 16S ribosomal RNA
Rfam family: Bacterial small subunit ribosomal RNA
Source: RNAcentral
GACAGAGGGUGCAAACGUUGCUCGGAAUUACUGGGCGUAAAGCGCGUGUAGGCGGACCGUUGUGUCAGGCGUGAAAGCCCUGGGCUCAACCCAGGAACUGCACCUGAAACUGGCGGUCUAGAGUGGUGGAGAGGGAAGUGGAAUUCCUGUGUAGAGGUGAAAUUCGUAGAUAUCAGGAGGAACACCAGUGGCGAAGGCGGCUUCCUGGACACCAACUGACGCUGAGACGCGAAAGCGUGGGGAGCAAACAGG